RNAcentral lists this unclassified non-coding RNA (253 nucleotides) under uncultured Rickettsiales bacterium. Its description in RNAcentral is "contains 16S-23S intergenic spacer region". It matches the Rfam family "Bacterial small subunit ribosomal RNA", at positions 524 to 776 of the family's 1533-position model. The record is from RNAcentral. Lineage: Bacteria; Pseudomonadati; Pseudomonadota; Alphaproteobacteria; Rickettsiales.
UACGGAGGGGGCUAGCGUUGUUCGGAAUUACUGGGCGUAAAGCGCACGUAGGCGGCCGCGCAAGUCAGAUGUGAAAUCCCGGGGCUCAACCCCGGAACUGCAUUUGAAACUGCACGGCUCGAGUUCGGUAGGGGAGUGUGGAAUUCCUAGUGUAGAGGUGAAAUUCGUAGAUAUUAGGAGGAACACCAGUGGCGAAGGCGACACUCUGGGCCGAUACUGACGCUGAGGUGCGAAAGCGUGGGGAGCAAACAGG